GAGCCCGCACUUGAUUAGUUUGUUGGGAGGGUAAUGGCCUACCAAGACUAUGAUCAAUAGCUGAUUUGAGAGGAUGAUCAGCCACAUUGGGACUGAGACACGGCCCAAACUCCUACGGGAGGCAGCAGUGGGGAAUCUUGCACAAUGGAGGAAACUCUGAUGCAGCGAUGCCGCGUGAGUGAAGAAGGCCUUUGGGUUGUAAAGCUCUUUCGUCGGGGAAGAGAAUGACUGUACCCGAAUAAGAAGGUCCGGCUAACUUCGUGCCAGCAGCCGCGGUAAUACGAAGGGACCUAGCGUAGUUCGGAAUUACUGGGCUUAAAGAGUUCGUAGGUGGUUGAAAAAGUUGGUGGUGAAAUCCCAGAGCUUAACUCUGGAACUGCCAUCAAAACUUUUCAGCUAGAGUAUGAUA
RNAcentral lists this ribosomal RNA (409 nucleotides) under uncultured Pelagibacterales bacterium. RNAcentral describes it as "bacterial SSU rRNA". It matches the Rfam family "Bacterial small subunit ribosomal RNA", at positions 227 to 653 of the family's 1533-position model. The record is from RNAcentral. Lineage: Bacteria; Pseudomonadati; Pseudomonadota; Alphaproteobacteria; Candidatus Pelagibacterales.